RNAcentral lists this ribosomal RNA (531 nucleotides) under unidentified oral bacterium AP60-3. RNAcentral's name for it is "bacterial SSU rRNA". It matches the Rfam family "Bacterial small subunit ribosomal RNA", at positions 8 to 521 of the family's 1533-position model. The record is from RNAcentral.
AGAGUUUGAUCCUGGCUCAGGACGAACGCUGGCGGCGUGCCUAAUACAUGCAAGUAGAACGCUGAAGAGAGGAGCUUGCUCUUCUUGGAUGAGUUGCGAACGGGUGAGUAACGCGUAGGUAACCUGCCUGGUAGCGGGGGAUAACUAUUGGAAACGAUAGCUAAUACCGCAUAAAAUUGAUUAUCGCAUGAUAAUUAAUUGAAAGAUGCAAUUGCAUCACUACCAGAUGGACCUGCGUUGUAUUAGCUAGUUGGUGAGGUAACGGCUCACCAAGGCGACGAUACAUAGCCGACCUGAGAGGGUGAUCGGCCACACUGGGACUGAGACACGGCCCAGACUCCUACGGGAGGCAGCAGUAGGGAAUCUUCGGCAAUGGGGGGAACCCUGACCGAGCAACGCCGCGUGAGUGAAGAAGGUUUUCGGAUCGUAAAGCUCUGUUGUAAGAGAAGAACGGGUGUGAGAGUGGAAAGUUCACACUGUGACGGUAUCUUACCAGAAAGGGACGGCUAACUACGUGCCAGCAGCCGCGGU